UGAUAAAAAGUCUAUCCAUUUUUACUAUUAAAAAUUAGCGCGAGUAAUAAAAUAAUCAAACAAUUACACGUGGCAUACUAUAUGUAUCUCAUUUUAGUGUACAAAGACUUGUUUUUAACCGUAUAAAUGGAUAGAAUUUUUAUUU
Gossypium arboreum is the source of this 145-nucleotide non-coding RNA. Lineage: Eukaryota; Viridiplantae; Streptophyta; Magnoliopsida; Malvales; Malvaceae. The record is from Rfam.